AUGGAGGAAAAGAUGGAAUUAGAAAUCCAAAGAGUAGUUCAAAAGUUGUCUCCAGAAAUUGAUGAAUUCAAAGACAGAAUUACCAGGGAUACAGACAUAAUGAGAAGAGAUGGAGCAGAGCUCAAGGAAAUGAAAAAGUCAUUUGAAGAGCUUCAAAAUACAGAGGUGCGGCAGCCUCCGCUGACCCCGGGGGCAGGCAGGCAGGAGCAUCUGGGCCUGGCAUGCUGUCUGAACUGGAGGUGGGCAGCAGAGGGCAAGGGUGGGCAAAAGGGACUGGCUCCUGGCCAUAUAGAACUCAACAAAAAUCCAGUGGAAGGCUUUUCAGCAGGUUUAAUAGAUGAUAAAUGACCUCUACCAAUGGGAAGUCCUUAUUAUUGGUCCUCCAGAUACACUUUAUGAAGGUGGUAUUGCUAAGGCUCAUCUCACUUUCCCAAAAGAUUAUUCCCUCUGGCCUCCUAAAAUGAAAUUCAUUACAGAAAUCUGGCACCCAAAUGUUGAUAAGAAUGGUGAUGUGUGCAUUUCUAUUCUUCAUGAGCCUGGGGAAGAUAAAUCUGGAUAUGAAAAGCCAGAGGAACGCAGGCUCCCUAUCCAUACCGUGGAAACCAUCAUGAUUAGUGUCAUUUCUAUGCUGGCAGACCCUAAUGGAGAUUCACCUGUUAAUGUCGAUGCUGCAAAAGAAUGGAGGGAAGACAGAAAUGGAGAAUUUAAAAGAAAAGUUGCCCGCUGUGUAAGAAAAAGCCAAGAGAUAGCUUUUGAGUGACAUUUAUUUAGCAGCUAGAAACUUCACUUAUUUCAGGGUCUCCAACUGAGAAACAUGGCACUGUUUUCCUGCACUCUAACCACCUAUUGCUGGACUUCUGUUGUAACAAGUUGGCAGACACUGGCUGGAACUGGGCUGCAAUAAAACAUGCCAGUUAUCAAUGCUGACAAGAGCCUAACAAGUGCCAACUUACAGAUGAUUACACAUUUUGAAUUCUAAUGAACUAUUUUAACCUUCAGGAAGACUUGUAAAGACCUGUACAUAACACAACAUGAUCAGGAUAAUAUAUAUACUGUUCAUGUACAUCCACAAAUAUACCUAGUACCAAAUAAUGCUUUCUUGUAGUAGAAUAAGAAUCAUGUAAAUUCUAAAAGAUUUUAGCAGGUUUUCUUUCUUAUUCAUUGUUUCUUAUCAGUUUUAAAAGACUCCUUAAAGCAUGUGAGAUGAAAAGCAAUUAGGAUUAAAAGUUUCCACUUAAUUUCCUUAAACUAUUGAGGCUUCAUUAAACUCUUUUCACUUACUAAACUUUUGUAUCUUCUUUGUUUUGACAUACUCCCCUUUGCUUUUAUCUCUUAUAGCUGCCAGAAAGUUCUAUAAUCAUUUAAAAUACUGAAAUACUUAAUAAGCAAUUACUUGAUUUUUAUCGAUGACUUCAAAGGAGUAGUCAUCACUAGGUGCUUUGUCCUUUUUGUAUUCUAGUUGCACCCAUCUUGUGGAUUGGAUGUAGCAAUAACAUUUUUUGGCCAUUGAGAGCUCUUGAAUCCAGUAAUUUCCCCCAAGGACUAAUAGAGUUGGUACUUAAUUCAACUUUCUGAAAAUUUUCCCAAACAGUAUCAAACUCUGAUGUGGUUUUAUUUCUGUCCUUCAGUUGCCUAAAAUGUUAAGGUUGGAUAAAGCAUGCACAGCUCAGCUACAGGCUUUCUACCUAAUUCCUGGAUUUGCUACUAAAAAUGCUAUUUGCCCUCAUACCCUUCUCCUUAGUCCUUUAUAUUUCUUUGCCUCUAUUCUUCUAUGCCUGCAGAUUUUUCUCACCUAUUGUACAAAGAAAUUACAAUGUAUAUUUUCAUGUAAUUUGAUUUUGGAAUUCUGUCACCUUAUGUAGUGAGUUCUUCCAAAAUAUAAUUUUUUU
Molecule: RNA transcript, 1889 nt
Organism: Otolemur garnettii (small-eared galago)
Lineage: Eukaryota; Metazoa; Chordata; Mammalia; Primates; Galagidae
Gene name: ubiquitin-conjugating enzyme E2 G1 pseudogene
Exons: 2
Source: RefSeq, a predicted model, not a curated record